AUACGGAGGGUGCAAGCGUUACUCGGAAUCACUGGGCGUAAAGCGCGCGCAGGCGGUCUUUUAAGUUGGAUGUGAAAGCCUACAGCUCAACUGUAGAACUGCAUCCAAAACUAUUAGACUAGAGUCUGGGAGGGGAAGAUGGAAUUAGUUGUGUAGGGGUAAAAUCCGUAGAGAUAACUAGGAAUACCAAAAGCGAGGGCGAUCUUCUGGAACAGUCCUGACGCUGAGGCGCGAAAGCGUGGGGAGCAAACAGGAUUAGAAACCCGGGUAGUCC
Molecule: ribosomal RNA, 274 nt
Filed under: uncultured bacterium
Lineage: Bacteria
Description: partial 16S ribosomal RNA
Rfam family: Bacterial small subunit ribosomal RNA
Source: RNAcentral